Herpailurus yagouaroundi (jaguarundi) is the source of this 3987-nucleotide long non-coding RNA. RefSeq lists it as uncharacterized. Lineage: Eukaryota; Metazoa; Chordata; Mammalia; Carnivora; Felidae. The record is from RefSeq and is a predicted model, not a curated record. The transcript is spliced from 3 exons.
UGAAACACUCUUGUACAGGAUCAACAGUCUGGAAAAGAAGAAGAAAUCCAUUGUCAACUUUCUGAGCCAACACAAGGGAUGAUACUCUCCAGAGCUACGUUUGAAAUACCAUUUCAGCUUCAUUCAGUCCUUUGUUGAUAAAGAAAAAAAAUAUUGAGGCUACCCACAUCAGAACUUUGUUUUACCAUCUUCCUUCUUAGCCAGUAACAAGAAUCUUUUUGCAAGAUUCUUGAAGAGCUGAUCACUGGACAUCGAAGUAAUCCAAGAAAUUCUUGGAGAAGGUAUAAUAAAGAUCUCAUCAUGUAAAUGCCCUCCAAAGGGUUAAUGACGGCAAACGAUCUAUCUGUAUCCUGGGCUGUGUGCCAUUCCAGGAAAAGGCAAAGUCUCAGAUAACAGACCAGAAGGAUUAGGAUUAGUUAGAGUUGCCGUGUACGGUCCAUCAAACAAACAAUCUGAGCAUGACUUUCACCCUCAGAUUUCAGUUACAGGGAUCAAAAUACAAGAACCGUGUCCCAGUGUGGUAUUUUUGGCUGCCUGCAUCUGUGUGCCCUCAAGCCAUCGUGGCACAAACGCAAGUUGCCUCCCCUUCUGCUCAGUAGCGCUCCCUCUGCUUUUGUCUGAAAGAAUUAAAAUCGGUUACACCCAUCUGCUGAUGGUGGUGACGGACCUAACCCAGUUCUUGGGGGCAGCCUGAGCUGCGGGAGCUAGACGGUGACUCAGAGAGGCAGCCAGCGGGGCUCAGGGGAUCAUCUAGACAACUGAUAGAUACUAAAAGCAGAUGUGACCUCAUUCAUAUUCACAAGUCCCUGUUGUCCCCAAGGCAAAAAGCAGCGAGCUUGCUCCUCUUCACCCUCGCAGGAACCCUUCAAGCUGCCUUUUCUUUCCAGCGACAUUCACCUAUAUUGGAGUACAUCGUUAAUGGAGGGGCCAUGGGGAUUUGGAGGGGCUCGGGCAGAGACAAAGGCAUUAUAUCUGGAUGACUCAAGCUGCACAGACUUGGAGGGACGAGCCUGCCCUGCCUGUCCUCUCUCAGGAAAGCCUCCCUACUCCCUGAACCCCCUGGGAAAGUACCUCGUGAGAGUUCCUGGUUCUCCACUCUGAAGCUGCAUUGGUAGGCUGGGGCUGGGCAGGCAUUGCCUGGUAAAGGGCAAGUCUGCUUGCUCGAUCUGUAGAGAAUGCAGAGCUCGGGUAUGAUGUACAGCAGCAGGAAGACCCAUGCAUUGGUGACCAGGGCAAUACAGAUGACAGGGUCAUCCCACUGGGGCUGCCGCUGGAACUGUGGGUUGCCUCUCAGGAGCAUGGAGAUCCACACCACCCAGAUAAUGAUGGAGAUGAGCACAGUGACGAAGAUGAGCCUUCCAUGUUGCUUCCAGUUCUCACAUGGGCCACAGAAAGUGGCUUUGGAGACGAAGAAUGUGAGGGCCAUCAGGAAGAGGACAUAGACCAGGAGCACAACAAAGUCCACGUUGAGCUGACAGGGUGUCAUAUGCAUGAACAUCAUACCCCUGGUCAUCAUGAGAGUCACAUACUCAGUGGCAAUGAUUAUCUGCAGCAAGCUGACACCAAUAGCAAUGCACAGAAUUGUUGUCCAAGAGAAGGAGACUCUGCCCCGGACCAGCUUCACCAGGUUGGAGGCAUGAGCCAAGAGGCAUGAGAAACAGAGAGCAAAGAGAACCCCAAAGAGAAAGUAGCGUACAGGGGCAGUUUGCUGAUUGAACUGAGUGAUGAAGGCAAACGUGAGGCUAAAGAGUCCCAACACACCCAGGAGGAAGAGGAACUGAGUGGGAAGGACAUUCCACUGGCUGCAGUCUUGAACCCUUCGCAUGAGGAAGAGAAACGCCAAGAGUAGGAUAAUCGUAACUACUAUGCCAAUUAUUGCCAGGGACUCUAGAACAGUGCUCCAUGGCCCCUCGUUGUCACAGAGGAAAUAAUAGUCCUCAGUGGACUUGACGCAGUCCUCAUACAUGGUGACUUGUAGGCGGACCUCACGAGAAUGGACUUCUGUUUCCCUGCGGAAGAAAGAUGAGACAAAUUUCUGACUACAUCCGCCCAUAAGAGCGCCCAUCGGGUAGUCCUAUUUGGGCACUAUAAGGUCUCUCAUUCCCAAAAGAAGACACCUGGACAUACUGGAUACAACGUCCCCAAACUAUCAAACCCUGAAAUCUCGCCUGGCUCCAUUCUGCUGGGAAAAGCAGAACAAUGUCUACUUCCCGAUGCUUCAUCCAUUUUCACGUCAGUUUCCACCAAGCCUUUUUGAAACCCGAGGCAGGAUCAUUUUCACAAAAUAGGGUAUGUGACAAAGGUUGCAUGGUUGAUGAGAUUCCAGUUAGGUCGGACUCCAGAAUGAGCACUGUCAACGUUAAUGGAUCAUCGGAUCAUUCGAGACACUGAUGCACUGCUUGAGGGAGACAGGCAGAUCAUUCUUCCUAGUAAUUCUAAUGGCCGUUCCUUCUUUUAACGUAAGGCAAUCCAACAGAACAUGUUAUUGCUAAAUACCUACUAUUUGUUCAUCAAAGACUUAUGCAAAAUGGUCCCUGCUUCAACUACCUUUUGGGACCACUGAGCACCAACAUCUAUGUCGUCACUGAGGCUGCCCAGGAAAAAAAAAUUCCACACAUUCUUUAGGAAAAAAGUACUUGGCAAUUGGAUACUUCUAGCUCUAUUCCCCUUCAGUUAUUCCCAAGCCAGAUGGCUGGAGCAAUCCUGGUUUAUAGCUAAGGACAUGGCCCCUUCGUUCCCACUUACCUUCUCUGUGUCCACGCUGGAAGCUGAGGUGGUAGUGGCUGCGAGGUUGUAACUGCCAAUGAGUAAGAAGGAGACAAUCGCAGCUUCUUUAAUCUCUCCCCAAAUGGGCGGAAGGCCCUCACUCAGGUUCCUGCAGUGCCUAUAAAAAGAACCGGAAGGACACACCUAUUCCAGUUUCACGGCAACUUUUCUCCAGAGCUUUCUUUGGUUCCAAGCUUGGUACCAAGCUGGAUGACAGGGAGACGGGACACCCCUUCACCCUCACUUUCCGGCUGUCUCUCAGCAGCUGCAUAAAUUGGGAAGCACAUUCUUUCAUUUAUUCAUCCCGCAAUCAGACACUGAGCCUUUGCUAAGAACUGGUAUUCUGCUGGGAGCUGAGAAUACAAAAACAAUAAGCCUACCUAUCAGCAUUCAAGAAAUCACAUCGAAUUGGUGAGCUAUGCUGACAAAUGUGGAGAUGGAUGCACUCGAAGGUGUAACUUGAAGAAUAAAUGAAUACACCCACCUCUCUUCCUACCGGAAAGAGACUCCAGAAAAGGGCAGGCCUUAUCAAUUACCUAUUAACCCCCCACAAGUGGUUAUUUCAAAGGUCUUAUGUUUUCGCAUCACUGAGAGGGGGUCUGUUCAGUGUAGGUCUUAGCAAUGGACCCAUUUCUUAGUUCCACAUGCCUGCAGGCCACCUUUUGAAAGGAGAUGGGAUGCAUACAAAAGUUAAGUCUGGGCUGGAAUCGAACACUUGGGAGUCACUGGCACAUGGAUGGUCACAGAACCCAGGCACGUGAUCUGUGACAUCAUGGAUGGGCUCCCUUGGGAGGGUGUGCAGAGCAACUGAUGUGGCAGAAAGAGGGUAGAGUAUUACCCGACUCUACCCCCCCCCCCCCCGAGAAGCACAGCAACCUAAGGGCAGGGUGGGGAGUGAAGGCAGUACGGAGUAGUCUGGGGUAGGUGCGCCUCGAGAAUGACAGAUCACAGGUGUCAAAGGAGGAAUGCAAGGGAGAAGGUGGUGUCUCUAUCAAAUGGUACAGAGGAGCCAUUUACCCUGAUAAAGACCAAAAUGUGCCUGCUGGACUUUGUGAAGGAGGAUCACUUUCAGAGAACGUAAAUGUCUAUCAACAGAGUGAACGAGAGGCAAGGAAAUGAAUACUCUGUGUGUAAUUUGUUUUUAUUUUAAUUAAUUAAUUUUCAUAGACAGAGAAUGUGAAUGGAGGAAAGACAGAGAGAGACACAGAAUCCAAAGCAGGC